Molecule: ribosomal RNA, 2794 nt
Filed under: Klebsiella pneumoniae subsp. pneumoniae
Lineage: Bacteria; Pseudomonadati; Pseudomonadota; Gammaproteobacteria; Enterobacterales; Enterobacteriaceae
Description: partial 23S ribosomal RNA
Rfam family: Bacterial large subunit ribosomal RNA
Source: RNAcentral
GGUUAAGCGACUAAGCGUACACGGUGGAUGCCCUGGCAGUCAGAGGCGAUGAAGGACGUGCUAAUCUGCGAAAAGCGUCGGUAAGGUGAUAUGAACCGUUAUAACCGGCGAUGUCCGAAUGGGGAAACCCAGUGUGAUUCGUCACACUAUCGUUAACUGAAUACAUAGGUUAACGAGGCGAACCGGGGGAACUGAAACAUCUAAGUACCCCGAGGAAAAGAAAUCAACCGAGAUUCCCCCAGUAGCGGCGAGCGAACGGGGAGCAGCCCAGAGUCUGAAUCAGCUUGUGUGUUAGUGGAACGGUCUGGAAAGUCCGACGGUACAGGGUGAUAGUCCCGUACACCAAAAUGCACAGGCUGUGAACUCGAAGAGUAGGGCGGGACACGUGGUAUCCUGUCUGAAUAUGGGGGGACCAUCCUCCAAGGCUAAAUACUCCUGACUGACCGAUAGUGAACCAGUACCGUGAGGGAAAGGCGAAAAGAACCCCGGCGAGGGGAGUGAAAAAGAACCUGAAACCGUGUACGUACAAGCAGUGGGAGCACCUUCGGGUGUGACUGCGUACCUUUUGUAUAAUGGGUCAGCGACUUAUAUUCUGUAGCAAGGUUAACCGUAUAGGGGAGCCGCAGGGAAACCGAGUCUUAACUGGGCGUUAAGUUGCAGGGUAUAGACCCGAAACCCGGUGAUCUAGCCAUGGGCAGGUUGAAGGUUGGGUAACACUAACUGGAGGACCGAACCGACUAAUGUUGAAAAAUUAGCGGAUGACUUGUGGCUGGGGGUGAAAGGCCAAUCAAACCGGGAGAUAGCUGGUUCUCCCCGAAAGCUAUUUAGGUAGCGCCUCGUGAACUCAUCUUCGGGGGUAGAGCACUGUUUCGGCUAGGGGGUCAUCCCGACUUACCAACCCGAUGCAAACUACGAAUACCGAAGAAUGUUAUCACGGGAGACACACGGCGGGUGCUAACGUCCGUCGUGAAGAGGGAAACAACCCAGACCGCCAGCUAAGGUCCCAAAGUCAUGGUUAAGUGGGAAACGAUGUGGGAAGGCACAGACAGCCAGGAUGUUGGCUUAGAAGCAGCCAUCAUUUAAAGAAAGCGUAAUAGCUCACUGGUCGAGUCGGCCUGCGCGGAAGAUGUAACGGGGCUAAACCAUGCACCGAAGCUGCGGCAGCGACACUAUGUGUUGUUGGGUAGGGGAGCGUUCUGUAAGCCUGCGAAGGUGUGCUGUGAGGCAUGCUGGAGGUAUCAGAAGUGCGAAUGCUGACAUAAGUAACGAUAAAGCGGGUGAAAAGCCCGCUCGCCGGAAGACCAAGGGUUCCUGUCCAACGUUAAUCGGGGCAGGGUGAGUCGACCCCUAAGGCGAGGCCGAAAGGCGUAGUCGAUGGGAAACAGGUUAAUAUUCCUGUACUUGGUGUUACUGCGAAGGGGGGACGGAGAAGGCUAUGUUAGCCGGGCGACGGUUGUCCCGGUUUAAGCAUGUAGGCUGAUUGUCCAGGCAAAUCCGGAUAAUCAAGGCUGAGGUGUGAUGACGAGGCACUACGGUGCUGAAGUAACAAAUGCCCUGCUUCCAGGAAAAGCCUCUAAGCAUCAGGUAACAUUAAAUCGUACCCCAAACCGACACAGGUGGUCAGGUAGAGAAUACCAAGGCGCUUGAGAGAACUCGGGUGAAGGAACUAGGCAAAAUGGUGCCGUAACUUCGGGAGAAGGCACGCUGGUGUGUAGGUGAAGUCCCUGCGGAUGGAGCUGAGACCAGUCGAAGAUACCAGCUGGCUGCAACUGUUUAUUAAAAACACAGCACUGUGCAAACACGAAAGUGGACGUAUACGGUGUGACGCCUGCCCGGUGCCGGAAGGUUAAUUGAUGGGGUUAUCCGUAAGGAGAAGCUCUUGAUCGAAGCCCCGGUAAACGGCGGCCGUAACUAUAACGGUCCUAAGGUAGCGAAAUUCCUUGUCGGGUAAGUUCCGACCUGCACGAAUGGCGUAAUGAUGGCCAGGCUGUCUCCACCCGAGACUCAGUGAAAUUGAACUCGCUGUGAAGAUGCAGUGUACCCGCGGCAAGACGGAAAGACCCCGUGAACCUUUACUAUAGCUUGACACUGAACAUUGAGCCUUGAUGUGUAGGAUAGGUGGGAGGCUUUGAAGCGUGGACGCCAGUCUGCGUGGAGCCAACCUUGAAAUACCACCCUUUAAUGUUUGAUGUUCUAACGUUGGCCCCUGACCGGGGUUGCGGACAGUGUCUGGUGGGUAGUUUGACUGGGGCGGUCUCCUCCCAAAGCGUAACGGAGGAGCACGAAGGUUAGCUAAUCCUGGUCGGACAUCAGGAGGUUAGUGCAAUGGCAUAAGCUAGCUUGACUGCGAGCGUGACGGCGCGAGCAGGUGCGAAAGCAGGUCAUAGUGAUCCGGUGGUUCUGAAUGGAAGGGCCAUCGCUCAACGGAUAAAAGGUACUCCGGGGAUAACAGGCUGAUACCGCCCAAGAGUUCAUAUCGACGGCGGUGUUUGGCACCUCGAUGUCGGCUCAUCACAUCCUGGGGCUGAAGUAGGUCCCAAGGGUAUGGCUGUUCGCCAUUUAAAGUGGUACGCGAGCUGGGUUUAGAACGUCGUGAGACAGUUCGGUCCCUAUCUGCCGUGGGCGCUGGAGAAUUGAGGGGGGCUGCUCCUAGUACGAGAGGACCGGAGUGGACGCAUCACUGGUGUUCGGGUUGUCAUGCCAAUGGCACUGCCCGGUAGCUAAAUGCGGAAGAGAUAAGUGCUGAAAGCAUCUAAGCACGAAACUUGCCCCGAGAUGAGUUCUCCCUGAGACU